GGUUGGUGACGCGCGCGCAGUUCUCCAGGCGCAGUGCGCGCAGGCGUGGGCAGCAGCGCAGCAGGCGCGCCAGGCAGUCGUCGGUAACGUGGCCGCAGCCCGAGAGCGUGACGGACGCCAGGUUGGGGCACCUGUGAGGAGAGUGCGGUGACCCGGGGCUCACUGGCUUGUUAAAGCUACCCAACCGCCCCAUGGGACCGAGUGGACUCAUUUACCGAGGAGGACUCGGGCCCUGCGAGGUCACUUCAUCCUGGCCCAGGUACUGCAGCUCCAAAUCGUGGGGAUUCUGUAAGAGCUUGCUACCUGUUGACUGAGGAGGCCCACGAGUUGAGAAGAACUAGCAAGAGUGGUACAAAACUGCAGGUCAUUGGGCUGGCCACCAGGUAUUCCCACCCACCAGAAGCUGGCUGUUGUACUCACCCGGAACCAUGGUGCACCACCACAGCGGCGAGGUCAUACAGGCAGCUCUCCGGGCCACUGUUCUCAGGCUACAGAACAAGGAAGAAGGAGCAGUGGUCAAUGACAUCAGUAUCUCGAUGACCUCUACCCUCUCCAUGUGAUGACAAUCUUACUGAAGAGCCAUUUUUUCACCAUGCUAAAAAGGUAACCACCUUACCUCUAGUAAGUAGCAUUUCAUGUCUAGGCCUCUCAGUGGAAAUUCUACGUAUGUAUCAACUUUAUUUCUUAAAUAUGCUGUCCAAUGAAAUCUUUUCAAAUGUAAGCAUAGCACCUGGAGGACAGAGAUGCGGUCAAAGAUUGUGAACACCUAAUUUACCUUUCAGUCAAAGUUUGAUACUACUAUCAGUUCAGUAAAUAACAUUUUAGCUGCCCUAUCAAUCAUUCUUCCAUGCAUACCUUAUGCAUUCAUUCUGUAAGGGGUUUAGCUUUUACUGAAAAUCCUAGAGAAAAAUACAGAACAGUUCACAUAGUGUAAAGUUAUAGACAUGGUCUUAGCAGUCAAGCACUUUCCCAUUGAAAUUGCUUCAUAACUCAAAAUUCAACACUCACCUUGGGUAGUUUUUGAAUCCAAAACUUUUUUGUGGACUUUUGUUUCUUUUUGCAUUUAUGGCACAUAUAUAACUCUGUCUCAUCAAGUUCUUCUAAGUCGGUAAAACUGCGAAGACAAUCUAAACAAAUUGAUUUUGGCAGCAUUAAAACAAGAUGCCUUUUGUAGAGGCAAUGUACUGUAGAAAAAAGACCCAGGUUUAAAAUCUCAGCUUUAUUAGCUAUACGACCUUAGAAAAGUUAACCUUUCUCAAUUGCAAACUGGAGACAAAAAAUAAUACCUACUUUGAAGAACUAUUAUAAGGAAGAGAAAUAAUGUGUAGAGCACCUGGCAUCAUGCCUGACAUCUGGUGAUGAUCAAUUGUGUUGGUUUUACUAUUAAUGAUAAUUCAUCUGGAUAAUUCUGAUAAAAUGGUUUCCUGAUGAAUUUAAAGUUUCAAUUGUAGUUUUCUGUCAAUAUGUUACAUUAUACAGGACAAAGCUCCAAACUCAUAAAAAAAAGUCAAAUUUAGAUAAUUUAAAAAUAAACAUAGAUCACAGAAGGCUACACUAUCAACCUUCUCUGUCCAGACGCUGUACUCUCAGUUCCUAGAUAAAUCACAGCUACAUUUUUUUUCAUUUAAAGAUGUAAUUGUGUAACCUGGGGUUUAGUAAACUACAGUCCUAAAACAUCCAGCCAGCCACCUGGUUUUGUAAAUAAAGUUUCAUUGGAACAGAAAAAAAAAAAAAAAAAAAAAAAAAAAAAAAAAAAAAAAAAAAAAAAAAAAAAAAAAAAAAAAAAAA
RNAcentral lists this long non-coding RNA (1788 nucleotides) under Homo sapiens (human). RNAcentral describes it as "USP3 antisense RNA 1 (USP3-AS1)". Lineage: Eukaryota; Metazoa; Chordata; Mammalia; Primates; Hominidae. The record is from RNAcentral.